UUUGACUACUAGGGGUGCCGAUGGGAUCGGCUGAGAGGAAAGAAUUCAAUCUUUCUAACCCUUUUGAACCUGAUCUAGUUCGUACUAGCGGAGGGAAGUAGCACUUCUUUAAC
RNAcentral lists this non-coding RNA (113 nucleotides) under Amphibacillus xylanus. RNAcentral's name for it is "TPP sequence". It matches the Rfam family "TPP riboswitch aptamer (THI element)". Rfam says of the family: Vitamin B(1) in its active form thiamin pyrophosphate (TPP) is an essential coenzyme that is synthesised by coupling of pyrimidine and thiazole moieties in bacteria. The previously detected thiamin-regulatory element, thi box was extended, resulting in a new, highly conserved RNA secondary structure, the THI element, which is widely distributed in eubacteria and also occurs in some archaea. Analysis of operon structures identified a large number of new candidate thiamin-regulated genes, mostly transporters, in various prokaryotic organisms. Lineage: Bacteria; Bacillati; Bacillota; Bacilli; Caryophanales; Bacillaceae. The record is from RNAcentral. RNAcentral also lists the same sequence under 1 other name.